This 521-nucleotide ribosomal RNA is filed under the name uncultured bacterium. RNAcentral describes it as "bacterial SSU rRNA". It matches the Rfam family "Bacterial small subunit ribosomal RNA", at positions 8 to 518 of the family's 1533-position model. The record is from RNAcentral.
AGAGUUUGAUUCUGGCUCAGGAUGAACGCUGGCGGCAGGCUUAAUACAUGCAAGUCGAACGGUAAGGUCCGAAGUGGCAACACGGAGGAUACACGAGUGGCGCACGGGUGCGUAACGCGUAUGCAACCUGCCCCCGACCGGGACAAAACAGCUGGAAACGGCUGCUAAUAUCCCAUGGUCAUGCGGAAGGGCAUCCUUCUUCAUGUAAAGAUUCAUUGGUCGGGGAUGGGCAUGCGUAUUAUUAGGUAGUUGGCGGGGUAACGGCCCACCAAGCCGACGAUGAUUAGGGGUCCUGAGAGGGUUAACCCCCACACUGGAACUGAGACACGGUCCAGACUCCUACGGGAGGCAGCAGUAGGGAAUAUUGGGCAAUGGGAGCAAUCCUGACCCAGCCAUGCCGCGUGAAGGAAGACGGCCCUAUGGGUUGUAAACUUCUUUUGCCGCAGAGUAAACCCGGUCACGAGUGGUCGGUUGAGAGUAUGCGGCGAAUAAGUAUCGGCUAACUCCGUGCCAGCCGCAGC